RNAcentral lists this ribosomal RNA (577 nucleotides) under Ocypode ryderi. Its description in RNAcentral is "partial 12S ribosomal RNA". Lineage: Eukaryota; Metazoa; Arthropoda; Malacostraca; Decapoda; Ocypodidae. The record is from RNAcentral.
UACUUCCAGGUUAAGUAAAAAUGUUUGAGUUAGGUAGUGCAAGUGGUCAGAUUAGACGUUAAAGCUUAGUUUCUAUAAAGGGUAAAAUCGGAAUAUAGAUUAUAAUUAGUUAAGACUGAGGCAGAGGCUAAAUAAAUUUAGUGAAAAACUAGGAUUAGAUACCCUAUUAUUCUAAAUUAAAAAUACAAGAACCAGACUAGUAGGAGUUAUCUUCUUAAAAAUUAAAAAAUUUGGCAGUAGUUUAAUCUUUUUAGAGGAAUCUGUUUUUUAAUCGAUACACCACGAAGAAUCUUACUUACUCUUGUAAAGUUUAGUUUGUAUACCAUCAUUAUCAGAUAAUUUUAAAAAGAAGAAAUUAUUAAAUUUAGUUUGUCUAGAAAAAUUAGAUCAUGGUGCAGCUUAUGGGUAAGUUAAAAUGGAUUACAAUAAAUUAAUUUAUGACGGAUUAUAAAAUGAAAAUUUAUAUGAAGGAGGAUUUAAUUGUAUUGAGGAUAAACAAUGUCUUCAAGAAAUAAGCUCUAAAUUAUGUACAUAUCGCCCGUCGCUUUCGUUUAUAGAUGAAAUAAGUCGUAACAUA